Molecule: unclassified non-coding RNA, 247 nt
Filed under: fungal sp.
Lineage: Eukaryota; Fungi
Description: partial internal transcribed spacer region
Rfam family: Eukaryotic small subunit ribosomal RNA (bases 1-46)
Source: RNAcentral
AAGUCGUAACAAGGUCUCCGUUGGUGAACCAGCGGAGGGAUCAUUACAAGAGUUGCAAAACUCCCUAACCCUUUGUGAACCUUACCUGUUCGUUUUGCUUUCGGCAGGCAGCCCCAGGGCGGGGCUCGCGGCCUGGGCUUCCCCAGGUGUCUGCCGUAGGGCUAACAACAAACUCUUUAUUGUAUCAUGCUGUCUGAGUUAUUAAAAAAACAAGUUAAAACUUUCAACAACGGAUCUCUUGGUUCUG